UAUAGGUGGUGAGCCCUCUAACAAGGGUAAAGAGAUUGUGCCCGAAGAUCGGGAAUAGGAGUAUAUCGAACUCCUAGUAUUGUGAGUAACCUUACUAUCGUCUUAAUUAUCUAAAUUAUGUUUGAUCCGAUUUUGUGAAUUUUAUGAAAAAUGAAUUAAAUGAUAAAUUUUUCGGUUUUAUAAACAAUAUGUGAUUUAAUGAAAUGAUUUCAUAAAAUUGUUUUAAAAUUGAAUAAUGGUUUUUCAAAUAGAGUAAUUGGAGACCAUUUGAUGUAUUAUGAAUUUAUGGUUCUAAUUGAUUAGCUUAUGACAAUAUUGGCAUGAAUGGCUGAAUUGGUAUUUGUGUUAAAAUAUAUGAAUUGUGUAUUUAGCCUUGAAAGGUUGUGAACUACAAUAAUUGCCAUAUCAUAUUAUUGAAUUUUAUUGAUUGGUGGGAUAAUUAUUAGCUUACUGCAGUGGGCGGGUUUUUGUGGACCAGCCUAUUAGAGGGGCACGGUAAACCCCAUUAUAUCUUACCUCAGUAUGAGAGGCGCGGGUGGAUAACUCUUGAGUCUAACAUUUUAGAGUUCACUUCACGUCAAACCACCACGUGUGGGGGAACUCAGCCAACGCCAAGGAACGACUAUAUUUUCAAAAUAAAAACAUGAUUUAUGAGUACAUAACUUUUUAAUAGCCUUGGCGGACUCGGUUUGGGAUAGCCAUCAGCCAAGGUAUCCCUGAUGACUGAGUAUGAUAAUGAUUUUGGCACGAGCCAAAGUUUUAAGAAAUUCAUAAGCCAUGUUAAUUACUCGAUUUAUAUGAAUUGAUUUUAUUUGGUUGAAACAAGUUGAAAGGUGAUGAAUUUCAGUAUGUUAAACUAUUUUAUCUAUCUUCAUUUACUCGACUUUGGAUGGUUUAGAUGGUAUCUGUUUACUCACUGGGAUUUUAUAAUCUCACCACCCUCCUUUCCAACCAUUUCAGGCUCGAGGUAGCCUGUGAAUAGCAGAUAUCGUCAAGGAUUAUAGUCGGCUUUACUACUCCAAAAACUAUAGGUUUACUGCCUUUGUGCACUUUUGUUCUUUGUGGGCCCACGAGUCACUGUAAAGUAAAUUUCAUAUCCCGGUUAUCUAUAUUAUAGUAUGUAUGAAUUUAUUUAGAUUUUACAUUACAAAAAUUAU
This 1157-nucleotide long non-coding RNA is filed under the name Theobroma cacao (cacao). RNAcentral describes it as "long non-coding RNA (TCAC_LNC000409)". The record is from RNAcentral. Lineage: Eukaryota; Viridiplantae; Streptophyta; Magnoliopsida; Malvales; Malvaceae.